CAAGAGCGUAUCUUAAAAUUGUUGCAGUUAAAAAGCUCGUAGUUGAACCUUGGGUCUGGCUGGCCGGUCCGCUUUUAUGCGAGUACUGGACCCAGCCGGGCCUUUCCUUCUGGCAAGCCCUCGUGGCGAACCAGGACUUUUACUUUGAAAAAAUUAGAGUGUUCAAAGCAGGCCUUUGCUCGAAUAUAUUAGCAUGGAAUAAUAGAAUAGGACGUUAUGGUUCUAUUUUGUUGGUUUCUAGGACCAUCGUAAUGAUUAAUAGGAACGGUCGGGGGCAUCAGUAUUCAGUUGUCAGAGGUGAAAUUCUUGGAUUUACUGAAGACUAACUACUGCGAAAGCAUUUGCCAAGGACGUUUUCAUUAA
RNAcentral lists this ribosomal RNA (363 nucleotides) under uncultured eukaryote. RNAcentral's name for it is "partial 18S ribosomal RNA". It matches the Rfam family "Eukaryotic small subunit ribosomal RNA", at positions 592 to 976 of the family's 1831-position model. The record is from RNAcentral.